Molecule: small RNA, 578 nt
Filed under: Pan troglodytes (chimpanzee)
Lineage: Eukaryota; Metazoa; Chordata; Mammalia; Primates; Hominidae
Description: retained intron
Source: RNAcentral
AGCCUGAAGCGGAAGUGGAGAAAAGAUGGAGGUGUGGGGACAGGAGCUGGGUGUGCUGGGGACUGGCCGCGGACCCCUAACCUGUGUCUCCGGUCUCCCUCCGGGAGCGGCUCAACCCAGCCCAUCGCUCUGGCCCCGUUCUGGCCCUGCAGGGUGGUGGCUGGGACGUUGAAAUGAGCGCGCGAGUGGUAUGUCCUCUCUCCGCGCUCACGCCCCCCUCCCCACCGUGUUUCCCGCCAGGACCAUCAGCACGUGCCCAUCGACAUCCAGACCAGCAAGCUGCUCGAUUGGCUGGUGGACAGAAGGCACUGCAGCCUGAAAUGGCAGAGUCUGGUGCUGACGAUCCGCGAGAAGAUCAAUGCUGCCAUCCAGGACAUGCCAGAGAGCGAAGAGAUCGCCCAGCUGCUGUCUGGGUCCUGUGAGUGCUUAGGGGCUGUCACUGGAGUCCCCUCUUUGCUGAGGUAGUAUGUAUCAGCUGAGCUACUCUCUUGUUAUUUAGCCACCAGGGCUGGCCUUUAGAGAGGGAGCGAUUUUUAUUUGAGGUAUAGAUGCUGGCUUCUUCCACUAUGAAAUGAUUU